Long non-coding RNA from Hippoglossus stenolepis (Pacific halibut), 168 nucleotides. RefSeq lists it as uncharacterized. Lineage: Eukaryota; Metazoa; Chordata; Actinopteri; Pleuronectiformes; Pleuronectidae. The record is from RefSeq and is a predicted model, not a curated record. The transcript is spliced from 2 exons.
GAUCACACUCUUCUACAUAACCUUUAAUAUCGUACUGGUCUCAGGUUCCUCUCUCAGUCACAAAGUCCAGCAGAGUCCAGCUAACAUUUACAAGAAACCAGCAGAAACAGCCAAAAUCAGCUGUUCACACAGUAUUGACAACUAUGAUCGAAUCUUCUGGUACAAGCA